AGGAUAUGCCUUAUGUCUUUGCGACUGCUGGCAGCUAAUUUAUAUUUUCAUAUUGUCCUUUAGCCAGGAUCUACUACAUUCUUCUUUCUUUCUUCCUUUGGAUUAUCAUUAGUUUUACUCAAUAAUGCUUAUGGAAACUGCUACACAAACACCUCCGGAGAUGAAGGUGAACUGGGCUACGUCUCCUAGUAAUCAGCCAAAACAAGACACAAGCAAACACUUCCAUAUAUUUGUUGGUGAUUUAAGUCCAGAUAUUGAAACUCAUCAACUACGGGAUGCCUUUAAAGCUUUUGGAGAAAUAUCAGAUUGUAAAAUCAUUCGGGAUCCGCAAACCCUGAAAUCAAAGGGAUAUGGUUUUGUUUCUUUUGUUAACAAAGUGGAUGCUGAAACUGCAAUAAACACCAUGAAUGGACAGUGGCUGGGCAGUAGGCCAAUCAGGACAAAUUGGGCCACUCGGAAGCCGCCUGCUCCAAGUCAAAAAGACAAUACAAAGCAGCUAUCUUAUGAAGAAGUAUACAACCAGUCCAGUCCCACCAACUGUACAGUCUACUGCGGUGGUAUCUCUCAGGGUCUUACAGAGGAGCUGAUGAGGAAGACUUUCAAUUCAUAUGGAGUAAUUCAUGAAAUUCGUGUUUUCAAAGAUAAAGGUUAUGCAUUCAUUCGAUUUUCUUCAAAGGAAUCUGCUGCUCAAGCAAUUUGUGGUGUUCAUGGCAAUGUGAUUGCAGAUCAACCUGUGAAGUGUUCCUGGGGUAAAGAAUCUAAUGAUCCUAACCAAAGCAGUCAGCCAACUGUCACUAAUGAGCAACAGCAACCUUUCUCCUCCCCUUCAGCCUAUGGUCAGUUUUAUGGUAACAUGGGUUAUUGGGGCUAUCCAUAUCAAAAUAUGGCCCAGAGCAGCUAUGUUCAAGGAGGAAUGAAUCAAUGGGCAGGUUAUAACUACCAAGCAUAUGCUGGGAUGAAUGUCCCCGCAAUGCAACAAUGGGGCCAAAUUCCCCUGCAGCCUGGCCAGCAACAGCAGCAAUUUAAUGGUCAGCAGCAAACUAUGCUUGGUUAUCCUCUGCAGCAGGGGGUGAUAUCUCAUCCCCUUUUCAUCCCAUGAUUGCAAGCAUUCUGGCAUCAUGCCCUCAGGCGCUGAGGUAAAAUGGCUGACAGCAGAUAUGAAGAUGCUGGACUAAAAUGAAACCUUCAUCAACAGGCUACCCACAAGCUCCGUACUAAGUGCAGACCUUGUCGGCCCUAACUGCGAUUAUGUAUCCACAACUGCAGCAGGGAACACAAGAAAUAUUCGGUUCACCUUAUAACUGCAGAAAUCCUGUACAUAGCACUAUUAAUGUAGCCAUAUAGCUAGAAAUAUAUAGAUUACAGAUAAAAAAAAAAAAAAAUCCUAAAAAAAGAUUUAAAAAAAAACAAAAAAACACAAAAAACUAAAAAAAAAAUCAAGAAAACAAUACUAAAAUAGUCAUCAGUUUUCAUAAUGAUGAUAAUGACUGAUAAUGGUUAAAUAUAAUAAUAAUAAUAAUAAUAAUAAUAUAACAAUAAUAAUAAUAAUAAUGAUGAUAAUAAUAUUAUUAAUAAUGAUAAUAAUGGUGGUGGUAGGAAUGGUGGCAAACAGGAAAAAGCUUCUUUCCUUGCAGUAAAAUAAAAAAAAAAAGAACAAAAAGAAACAAAGAAAAAAAAAACAACAAUUUACUCAAAUGGAAUAUAUAUAUGUAUGUGUAUAUAUAUAUAUAUAUAUAUAUAUGUGUGUAUGUAUGUAUCUAUAUAUAUAUAUGUAUAUAUAUAUAUAAUAUUACCAUUUUGGUGUGAAAUGCACAAAUGUAAUGAUUUUUGACUCUGGAUGAAUGAAUGAUGAACAUAAUUUGAAAACUUCCCCUUUCCCUCUACUUUUUUAUUUGAUUUAGUCUUUAUUUUAACAGUUCGUGGGGACCCGUGGUUAUACUUUGAUACAAUCUUAUCAGAAGUGGAGGAAGUUUUAUAUAUAUAUAUAUAUAUAUAUAUAUAUAUAUAUAUGUGUGUGUGUAUGUAUGUGAAUACAUGUAUACAUGCGCACAUAUAUAUUACAUGUGUAUGCAUGUAGAUUAUACACCUUCACACACAUACAGUCUGUGUGUGUGUGUGUGUGUAUUUAAUGUAUAUAUAUGUGUGUGCGUAUACAGUUGUGUGUGUGUGUAUGUUUAUACAAAAUAGUGCAACUAAGGAUCUGUUUUUUAGCUGGCUGGGCAGUUGGGUGGUUGGGUGGUUUAUACCUAAAGAAUAAGCUUAAAAAAAUGUAUUCUGAAUCUUUUUCAACUCUGUACCCGUGUUUAAUGAAUAUGGGAUAUUAUUUUAAAAUCUUCUCUCCUUUUUCUGUGGUGUGCAUGUGCGUGCGUGCGUCUGUCUCUCUCUCUCUCUAAGUUCAUGAAGUUUGGCCAUGAUACAUUUAUUAGCAUUUUAUGUAUCUCACCACCCCCCUCCUUUACAGCAGAUGAAAUAUUCGUUCUUUCUCCCACAUCCAGUUUUCUGUUUUAAACUAGUUUCCCCCUUAUUUAAUAAUUCAUUUUGAAAAAGUUAAAAAUUUUUGCAUAAAAAGGAUUAAAAAAAAAGCCCAAGUUGUUGAUUGCAAAGUCUAUUUUGAUAAGCCCAUUUCAUAAAUUGCGAAGUAGUUCUCUAAAGAGCAGCUGCCUAUAAAAUAUCUGGCUGGUUCCUUUCCAUUGUUAUUAAUUACUAGUAGACUUCUCAAACCUAUCCGACUUCCCGCAAACUUAUCUAAGGUCUUUUAGACACCUAUAAGGUACUGUUAAAUGUUUUAUUACUUUCAGUUAUAUACAUCUAUGUAAUGUCCCCUUCUCUUAGCUUUCAUUAAAUUGCCAUCAUUGCAUUUAAAAAAAAAAAUUUUUUUUGUUAUAGUGAUGUCACUCGCUGUGAUCCAAAUGUAAAUAUUUCCAAUUGAGUUGCUUGUACAUUUGGUUGUCUUUACUCAAUUCUCUGUAUUAAUUUGAUCCCUGUUAGUCGUAAUGUAGAAAGUUGAGUAUUUUUUAGUUUUAUAAGUUUUCCUUUUUUUUUUUUUCGUUUUAGUUUGGCAAUUUGUAAGUGACCAGAAGUGAAAAAGUGUACAUAAAUAUCUCAAAAGCAGCACUAACAGUUAAUUUUCCAGAUUCUCUAUGUUGUAUGUGUGAUGAUUUGGCCUUACUGGCUCCUUCGUUUUUUGUUUUUUUUUCUUUUAUAGUGUCCCUCCCUCUCUUAGGAAAAAAGUUCCACUCCCUAACCCCUUUCUUAAAAAAAAAAAAAAUAUCAUAGCUAAUAAUUGUCAUGGCCACAACAUGGUCUUGCAUUGGAAUUCUGCUUCUAUUUUCUCCUGUUUCCUUUUUGAUGUUACUUGGGUUCUGAUUCUGUUAGCAAAUAUUUAGUAGGUAUUGCAUGAUAGAAAUGUGUGUGUAUGUGUGUGUGUAUGCUUUCAUACCUGUAUUCACUGAUCACCUGUCAGCUCAGUCAUUCCACACCUUAGAUAAAGGGGAUUGUUGAUUGUUCUCAUAUUCCUAAUAUUUAUUGAUGACAGUCAAGUCUUUUUCCUUGACAAGAGUUGUAUAUGCAAAAAUAUGGUAAAACUGUAUCGCUCCUAGUGUCCUAAAAAGAAAAAAAAAGAAAAAAACUUUCCCCUCCUCUUCUCAUGAUUUGAUUAAUGCUAAAUAUGAAGUUAACUGAAUAUCACUUUUCCUCUAAGAAAAACAUUUUCAGAACCCUGGUACAUAAAUUGAAUUUCAUCUUCCUUGAGAAUGCUCUAUGCAAUGUUUUGUAUAUUUAAUCGUUGGAUUCUAAAUAGCAUUUGGAACGUAGCUAGCUAAGUUAAUCUUGGUAACAUUUGCCAUGUAAUAUUAUUUUGACGGUAACUUAUAUAUUUUAUUUAUUUUAAAAAGGGAAUUUUUUUUUGAUAGUGUUGAAAAACCUUAUAAGAAAGAAAAAAAAAAGUGGGUCAAAUAUAUUUUUUAAUAGUUUUCUCUUGUGUGUGGAAGGAUAUAUAAUUAUUGCAGCCGUUUGUCCAGUUUUAAAAACUGCAACUUUCGAGGUUUGUGAUCUUAGCAAAAGCAAACGUCCGUGAUACUGACAGAAUAACUAACUAAAAAAGGUUUGCAGUUAAACUAUUGCACUUAGGGGUGAUUUUGUAAGGGUGGACCAGCUGACUGCUGUAAUUUGAGAGCAUCAUUUUUUGUUAACUGAAUUAAGCAAAGAGUAAGCUUAUCCAGUCUGUAGAAGAAUAUUAGAUGUGACAAAAAAAAAAGUUAAAAUGAAAUAAAAAAAAGGAAUAAAACAAACUUUAUAUUUGUACUUGGUGUCCAUUAUUAUUUUAGUUUGGAACAUAUCCCCUUCACUUAGAGAAUUCAGUUGUUUAGAAUAUUUUCUUAGUUGCUCAGUUUUGGCAGGCAGAGAGAAGCUCCAUUUCAAUGUCAGCUUUGGACACGUCUUUGAGAUGGUUUUUUCCUGUUAAAUUCUGACGUAGUGCUUAGGAGCCCAGUUUUAAGAUUGUGCCAACAGUAUAAGGUGAUACUUGCAUGCUCAUGAACGGCUACUCAGAAGCCCUAACAAAGAUGACAGAUAACAUACCUCACUUAUUUCCAUCCAUUUUAUUAAAUUGUUCUUCAGUGCUUGUAAUACAAGUUAAACAAUGAAAAAAAACAAAAACAAAAAGAAAUUAUAAAAAGCCAAUAAAAAAAAAUAAAAUAAAUAAAAAUGCAACUAUGAAACACUAAAUAAAUUCAGUAAAAUGCAGGGGAGGGGGUAGAAAGAAUUGUAUCUCCUUUUUAAAGAGUUUUGUGCGAUUUUAACAUGUAUACGUAAGCCUUUUAAACCUUAAGUGAUAUUAUGAGUGGUGAGGGAGUAAGAAAGCAAAAAUAAACUGCAGCAGAUAUGAACUGAAAAUACGUUUAGCGUGUCUGCCUUCUACAGCAGCGCACUAAGUAUUAAUAGAUACAUUUGAAGAAGAAGAAUGACUGUUGUUAUAUACUUUUAUGUUGAUGCUUCUCAAAACUUGUAAAAAAAACAAACAGCUCAGUGAUUAACCGAUCUUCACUGAACAGUAUUUGUUGUGGGAGCAACCAGAUUUUGCUGCUGUAUGACUAUUUCAUAUAUUGGGUUCUCUCAUUGCUAAUUUCGUCUAUUUUGUUGAGCUUAUUUCUGUCCCACGUCCGCCCCCAAAUUCCUUUCCUCUCCCUUCCCUUGCCAUUAUUAUUAUUAUUAUUAUUAUUAUUACUAUUACUAUUAUUAUUAUUAUUAUUAGAAAGCAUAUUCAUUGUAUAUAUGUAUAUAUCUAACCUUUUGUAAUCGCUAGAUAUGCAAAUACAUGUUUAUACAUACAUGCAAAUAUACACACACACACACACGCACGUACAUAUACAUGUGUAUGUAUGUAUAUAUAUAUAUAUGUAUAUAUAUAUAUAUAUAUAUAUAUGUAUGUGUGUAUGAUUGGAGAUAUUUUAUUGGCCAUUUUUCUGUUGGUUGCUUUGAUUCGUUGCUAGGAGAGUGUGGGAGGGUCAGGGGACUUCCUCCGGUAGUUGGAGGUACAAAAUGGUCCUGCUACCAAGUAGUUGUGUUGAGAGUGCAAGUUUCUCGUUGAGUUAUUUUGGAACUUGAACUAAUUCCAUCCAAAGGGAACAAAACUGUAAACGUAUAAAUUUCUUUGUAUGAUCCUUUUGAGUAUAUGUAAUCUGGCACAUGGACAUUUUAAUCAAAGAAGAAAUGGAAAAAAAAAAACCAAAAAUGAAUGGAAAAAAAAAUAAUAUAUAUAUGUAUACUACAAAAAAAAAAGGAAAAAAAAAACAAAAACAAAAAGAAACCACCCCUCCCCCCAGAAAAUUUUGAAUUUAUUCAACUUGGAUGUAAUUUCAAGCAAUAGAACUUGCUUCUCUGUCCAGCUUUCAAAUUAACUAUUGAAAGAAAAUGAACAUAAAUUUUUCACUCUGCUCAAGACGCCGUUUUCUCGCCCUACCCCCCUUUUCUUUAUGAUAUCUUGGUCAUUCCACAUUAUCGUUGAUUUUUUUUUUGACCGUUUUGUUCCUGUCUGAAGAAAGAAUGAACACGCAUGCAUAUAUAUAUAUAUAUAUAUAUAUAAUAUAUAUAUAUAUCUACGUGUGUGUAUGUGUUAUAUGUAUAAUUGUGUGUGUGUAUGAACAUUUCUUUUAUUGAAUGAGCGCUUGGUUACACUCUUGUAUUAGGUGUGCGGAGUUGUUUUAUGCGGUAUCUAGGGCUACAACCAAAAGCCAUGCCUAAGGUCUCGUGCAACCAGCCUUGUUUUACCGACUGAGUUUAGCCAGUGGGUUGAAUGGAAUGGGUAAUUGCUUGUAUUCCUAUCUAUUGCAUGCACGAAUACGUAUGUUUGUGAGUAUAUAUAUAUAUAUGUAUGUAUAUGUGUAUAUUAAGUAUGAAUGAUUUUUCAUUGCUAUCUCGGAAGAACAGUUAGAAAGUUAUAAACCCUUUUUGAGAGAGAGAGUGUGUGUGUGUGUGUGUGUGUGUGUGUGUGUGUAGCAUUUCGUGGGAUUAAAAGAUAUUCAGAAAAAAAAAAAAGUCCCCUCCCCUCCAGAAAGACUGGCCACUUUGAUGCCUACUGUUGGUUGGCUAAAAAAAAAAACAAAAGAAAAACAACAAAAAAACCCAAAAAACAUACAAA
This 6637-nucleotide unclassified non-coding RNA is filed under the name Octopus sinensis (East Asian common octopus). Its description in RNAcentral is "nucleolysin TIAR, transcript variant X7". Lineage: Eukaryota; Metazoa; Mollusca; Cephalopoda; Octopoda; Octopodidae. The record is from RNAcentral.